GUGCCAGCAGCCGCGGUAAUACGGAGGGUGCGAGCGUUAAUCGGAAUUACUGAGCGUAAAGCGCGCGUAGGCGGUUCAACAAGUCGGUCGUGAAAGUUCAGGGCCCAACCCUGAAAUGUCGAUCGAUACUGUUGUGACUAGGAUACGGUAGAGGUGAGUGGAAUUCCGAGUGUAGCGGUGAAAUGCGUAGAUAUUCGGAGGAACACCAAUUGCGAAGGCAGCUCACUGGGCCGCUAUCGACGCUGAGGAGCGAAAGCUAGGGGAGCAAACAGGAUUAGAUA
RNAcentral lists this ribosomal RNA (281 nucleotides) under uncultured bacterium. RNAcentral's name for it is "partial 16S ribosomal RNA". It matches the Rfam family "Bacterial small subunit ribosomal RNA", at positions 505 to 784 of the family's 1533-position model. The record is from RNAcentral.